GUACUAUUACAAAAGAAAGGUGGAUCUCUGUACAAUCAAAUUUCGAAGAGAGAUUUGAUCUUGCUGGAAUGGAACUUAAUGGUUCGCUUCAUGAAUAUAAUGGAUUUGACUCUUUGAAAUAUACUCUUGGUGGCUUUGAGGAAUGUAAAAUGGUUCCAUAUAUGGAACUCUUUGAUCCAUGUCUUGAGGCAAGGAUGGAACUAAUGAGUUG
Molecule: long non-coding RNA, 211 nt
Organism: Trifolium pratense (red clover)
Lineage: Eukaryota; Viridiplantae; Streptophyta; Magnoliopsida; Fabales; Fabaceae
Exons: 3
Source: RefSeq, a predicted model, not a curated record